GCCUGGGUGGCUCAGUUGGUUAAGCAGCUGACUUCAGCUCGGGUCAUGAUCUCACGGUUUGUGGGUUCAAGCCCCGCAUCAGGCU
Non-coding RNA from Felis catus (domestic cat), 85 nucleotides. NCBI's taxonomy places the organism in Eukaryota, Metazoa, Chordata, Mammalia, Carnivora, Felidae. The record is from Rfam.